AGCAGCCGCGGUAAUUCCAGCUCCAAUAGCGUAUAUUAAAGUUGUUGCAGUUAAAAAGCUCGUAGUUGAAUUUCGGGGUUCUUCCGUUGGUCAGGCUAACCAGUCUGUACUAGCGUGUAGAACCCCUACCUUCUGGGGAACCAUCAUGUCAUUAAUUUAGCGUGGUGGGAAACCAGGACCUUUACCUUGAAAAAAUUAGAGUGUUCAAAGCAGGCUUACGUCUAGAAUACAUUAGCAUGGAAUAAUAAAAUAGGACGGUGGUCCUGUUUUGUUGGUUUCUGAAUCACCGUAAUGAUUAAUAGGGAUAGGUUGGGGCAUUAGUAUUCAAUUGUCAGAGGUGAAAUUCUU
This 348-nucleotide ribosomal RNA is filed under the name uncultured Scutellospora. Its description in RNAcentral is "SSU rRNA". It matches the Rfam family "Eukaryotic small subunit ribosomal RNA", at positions 569 to 921 of the family's 1831-position model. The record is from RNAcentral. Lineage: Eukaryota; Fungi; Glomeromycota; Glomeromycetes; Diversisporales; Gigasporaceae.